RNAcentral lists this ribosomal RNA (301 nucleotides) under uncultured bacterium. Its description in RNAcentral is "partial 16S ribosomal RNA". It matches the Rfam family "Bacterial small subunit ribosomal RNA", at positions 509 to 807 of the family's 1533-position model. The record is from RNAcentral.
CAGCCGCCGCGGGAAUACGAAGGGGGCUAGCGUUGUUCGGAAUUACUGGGCGUAAAGCGUGCGUAGGCGGUUCGUUAAGACAGAUGUGAAAUCCCCGGGCUUAACCUGGGAACUGCAUUUGUGACUGGCGAGCUAGAGUAUGGCAGAGGGGGGUAGAAUUCCACGUGUAGCAGUGAAAUGCGUAGAGAUGUGGAGGAAUACCGAUGGCGAAGGCAGCCCCCUGGGCCAAUACUGACGCUCAUGCACGAAAGCGUGGGGAGCAAACAGGAUUAGAUACCCCAGUAGUCCCUGUCUCUUAUAC